Molecule: ribosomal RNA, 328 nt
Filed under: uncultured eukaryote
Lineage: Eukaryota
Description: partial 18S ribosomal RNA
Rfam family: Eukaryotic small subunit ribosomal RNA
Source: RNAcentral
CCCUUAGAUGUCCUGGGCCGCACGCGCGUUACACUGAUGCAUUCAACGAGCUUAUAACCUUGGCCGAGAGGCCUGGGCAAUCUUGUUAACGUGCAUCGUGAUAGGGAUAGAUUAUUGAAAUUAUUAAUCUUGAACGAGGAAUUCCUAGUAAUCGCAGAUCAUCAAUCUGCAUUGAUUACGUCCCUGCCCUUUGUACACACCGCCCGUCGCACCUACCGAUUGGAUGGUCCGGUGAAGCCUCGGGAUUGUGGUUCUUGCCGCUUUAUUGUGGCGUGACCGCGAGAACUUGUCUAAACCUUAUCAUCUAGAGGAAGGUGAAGUCGUAACA